UGGAAGCCGUGUAAGGGAUAGUAGUGACAUCCUUUUAUCUUCUGGACCCCUGAGGUUCUCGAAGGAAUCCAGAAGAUAAAAGAUAUAACGAAUAGCCCGGCCCUGA
RNAcentral lists this small RNA (106 nucleotides) under Aquimarina atlantica. Its description in RNAcentral is "Flavo-1 RNA". It matches the Rfam family "Flavo-1 RNA". Lineage: Bacteria; Pseudomonadati; Bacteroidota; Flavobacteriia; Flavobacteriales; Flavobacteriaceae. The record is from Rfam by way of RNAcentral.